RNAcentral lists this long non-coding RNA (4177 nucleotides) under Homo sapiens (human). Its description in RNAcentral is "novel transcript". Lineage: Eukaryota; Metazoa; Chordata; Mammalia; Primates; Hominidae. The record is from RNAcentral.
UUUUUUUUUUUUUUUUUUAAAACAGCAUUUAAAUGUUAAACAAGCCUGGACAGCUACAGACAGGCAACAGGCAUAAAAGAAGCAGGCUUAAAAAAAUUUUUUUAUUUUUGGUGUGUUUGUUCAUUUUCCCUGGGAUUUCUGUCUUUAGAAAGAUAAUAUCAAUUUCAUCUUUAGUAACCUGGAGUUUUGGCAAAGUGUGCUUUCUGGAAUUUUGAAUGGUAAUAUCUGUCGUUUCUCUGCUUGACACAGCUUUAUUUAAAUAGCUUUAAAAUUGAGACUCCUCUGGCAUGACUCUUCCUUUAAAAUCCAUAUAAUUUCAUAGUACAAGUGCUACCUUUCAUAUAUGGACAAGGUGCCACUGACUUUCUUGAUUUUUUACUAGUUGAUUCGUCUGUACCCUCUCACGAGGACCCUUAAAAACAUGCCUUUCGAAGGUGUUAGCCAAAGUGAGGGGCAGAAAGUUUAGCCAAGGGACAGAGUUUGUCUUUGCAAAGCAAACUGGUGUGUUCCAGACAGAGUCUGAAACCCUGGCUCUCCAGGGGAAUCAUCGCAACAGAGUUAAUAUUUAUUGGCUAUUGAGUGUGUGCCAAUGAGUCCCAAAUUUUCUGUGGAAUGACUCAUUUCAGCCUUGCCACAACUCCUCUAUUUUACAGCCAGUGAAACUGAGGCUCCAAGAGUUUAGGUAUUUUAUUGAUCUAAGGUCAGGAAGCAGAAAAGACUGCGGGAAUCUGAAACAAGCCAUCUGUCUCUAGAGCCCUUGCUCUUGACCUUUUCCCAACAAACAUGAUCUAAAAUAAAACAUUAAUCAUAUUAGCAUGUGAUUAUUACAUAGUUUGAUUUUUAAAUGGUUCAAACUAUUUUCACAACUGUUACCUCUUUUGCUCCAGAGGCAUGAUGGUAACUAAAAUCUUGGAAUGUGUCUUUUCGUAAAGAUUAGAUUUGGAAAAGACACACAAGAAACUCCCUUUUCCAGUGCAACGUUAACGGAAGCCCUACUUGAGCAAAUCUGGUGCCCCAGGAGAUCACCUCAGUUUAUUUUCCUUCUCCCAAAGAUAAAUGUAGGUGGUGGGGUGUUUUAGGGUUUCUUUCAGUACCGCUUUUAUUUUUCUACAUUUUUCCUGAACAUGAUGCAAUUGAUACCCUUUUGAAGUUUAAUUAUACCUCCGGCGUCACAUUGCAUGAAGCAUUUUCCUCAUGGCUGUGUUUUUGGAAGCUAAGUGCAUGGCAGUAACAGCAUGUUUAUCUUGGAGUUGAGACUUGAGAAGCAAGUUCCUCCCUUGAACACGACCUGAGAUAUAUCACCUCCCCAUCUGGGAUUCCAACCUUAGGUACAUAAGGGAGCCAACGCGUCAUUUUAAGAGACAAUGGGAGUGAGAAGCCAUUUUCCAUUAAUUUAGAUGAAAGCUGAUGAGGUGAGGGGCAGCCAUCUAUCAUUUCUAGGGGGUUUUAGUACUAGUAUCCUCCCCCAACUGCCUCCCGAUUCACUAUUCUAUAAGUGUGGGGGUCAAGAAUGGUUGGCAAAUCACCACUUUCAACAAUGUCUAUUUAGGCUUAAACAUGGCCCUCCUGCAUCAAGUUGAUAAUGAACAAGUUGCUAAACAGACACAUCUGUGCUUAGGAGACCUGUGGCAACUUGCCGGCAUGGCCUAGGGGGCCUUUUGUAAUUGGUCCUCGCCUUCCUUUCUGGCCCAAGCACUGGCCACUCCCUAUUCUGCAGCUAUACCAGGCAGCCUGCACCUCUUUACUCCAGAUGGGGUCAAAGGCAAGUCAUGGCUACAUUUUGGACUUCCAAGGAUUGGUUUCCUACUUCUAGCCUGCAAGUUUGAGAUUUAGUGGUUCUAGGAUGGAUGAGGUGGUCCUGGGAUGAUAACCAACUCAUGCAGCCAAACCUUCAAGACACAGAGGAAAUUCAAUGUCAUCAUUUAAGGCAGGAGACCCCUCCAAAUCUUUCAUCCAUAUGGAUCCAUUAUUCUGGGAUGCCUUCUUUCACUUCAUCUCUUGAAUUAUAAUAUUAAUAUAUUCUUCCUUCAAUAUUCAGUCAUCUCCCAGGAGCAGUGUUCCCCACCCACCUUCUGGAUGGGAUGUCUGUGCCACGGCCCUUCACACCCUGGGCUUCCCUCAAAUGCAGUACGGACCACACGGAGGCCUCCCAGCAUGGUUUUAUCUACCCCUCCCACUAAACUAUAUUCAAUCAUUCUGGCUGAUAGUAGGGGAUCAAUAUAUUUGUUCAAUGAAUGAAUAAUUCUUUCUGGUAGAGGAGCCUAUUUGGGAAACAACUCAAGUCAGAUUACUUGGUGAAUAUUGAAGGCCUGGAACAAGCUGAGCUGAAAAUGCUCCAAAUCUACUUCUGAAGCCAGCUACCCUGUCCCAUGGCCAUUAUCGCUCUCCUGGUUUGUCCUACAUUCUUCAAACUCUCCAUAUUUCAGUGCUGUGAGCAUCUCUGUCGGCUCUGGUGGUGUCAAAAGGGCCCCCAAGUAGCUCCCAACUCAUUAGUUAAACUUGGCCAUGACUGUAGUGGAGAAAGGUGCUAGUCUCUUACGUUGAAGAAGUGGGAUCAUGAGUAGGGCUAGGCCCACUGUGUGGGGUCUUUCAUUUGUAGAUUUUCUCAUGGCUACCUCUGUGCCCCAACAACAUUGUAUGCCUGACUGUUUUUUUUUUUUUUUUUUGUGGAGACAAGGGUCUUACCAUGUUGCGCAGGCAGUUCUCAAACUCGGGCAGUCAAAUGAUUCUUCUGUCUCAGCCUCUCGAGUAGCAGGGACUGCAGGCACAGGCCACUGUGCCCAGCUUGCCUGCCUUUUAAAGGGGUGGAGGAAUGCUUUUAUGCUAGUGGCUGCAUAGGACACAGCCAUGCUGGGGAGAAUUUCCCACUCGGAGACAGCUCUGCAUGCAAGCAAAGGAGAUGGCCUCCUUCAUAUGAGAUGAGAACGGAAACUGCUUAAAACGAGUCUCUCACCACUCCGUGCAAUGAAAUUCUACCAUCAAAUCCAAGUAUCUGCCUCGAGGGGCUUGCAGGCCUACAAUCUAUUAACCUCUCCUAACACAUUAGCAUUAAUUAGUUUGUUCAAGGACAGGUCCAUUUGCAGUGUGGAGAAAGGCGCCUGAAAGGUCUGUAAUUGCGGAGAUGAAUAGAAACGUGGGCAGCGUGCGGACCUAAGCUCAGGCCACGAUCCUUCUCUUGCCUGGGUUUCGGCCCGUCUCUUUGAGACCUCAGCCAAGCUCUCUAGCUGUGGAGUUUUAUCCUCCAGUUUUGGAUGGAGAGCACUCAUUUUCUUUCUGGGCCCAAAUGAAGUGUAAAUACUUUAAACUGCCCCCCAAAGCCCGGUAGGUCAGGUGCUGUCAGUAACUAAUCAUGAAGCUGAUCUCCCCCAGUCCCAGCACUCAGCAUGAGGGCAGCCCUUCCCAUUUCCUCCCCUGUCCCCUGCAGGAAUUAAUCCCUCAGGCCAUCACAUUCCCAGUGCAUUUUCUUUUUAUACUUCUGUGUGUCACUUGGGGCUGUCUGCCUUGAAUUAGAGUUAUUUGUGUACCUGUGCCUGGUAGCCUCCCCACGACUUGACGAUUUGAGCGUCUGAGUGACAGGGCCAUCUUUUUCAUUUUUCUAUUCCUCGGAGCACCCUGCUCAAUAUUUUACAUUUAGGUACUCAAUGUGUGGUUUGAAUUGAAUUGAAUGCAACAACUGGGAUUUAGAUUUGCUGGAUGAACCACUACCCUGUGUACCCUCAAAAAUACACGAACUUGGGUGAGGCCAGGCGUGGUGGCUCAUGCCUGUAAUCCCAACACUUUGGGAGACCAAUGUGGGAGGAUCACUUGAGCCCAGGAGUUCAAGACCAGCCUGGGCAACAUAGAGAGAAUCUGUCUCUUUUCCAUCGAGGCCAUCAGUUACUGUCUUCUAAAGAGAAGGGCACGAUUGCAGGUGUCAGGGAUGCAAGAGUGAUUAAGAGAGAGGGGGCCCUGCCCUCAUGGAGCCUCACUCCAGAGGGUCCGGCAAAGUCUAAGGCCUUAGAAUUCUAGCCAAACCUACUGGCUGAGGCAGAAGAAUGAACAAGAAGCGUCAGCCAGGCCGCUGGCCCAGGCACCAACUCACAGUUGCCCAAUAGGAUUGAGCUCUGGGGCCGUUUACAAGUCCACGUCAUUCCUGUAUAAACCUUAGAAGUUUACUGAAUAAACCUUAGAAUAAGGA